Molecule: non-coding RNA, 2290 nt
Organism: Chlorocebus sabaeus (green monkey)
Lineage: Eukaryota; Metazoa; Chordata; Mammalia; Primates; Cercopithecidae
Source: RefSeq, a predicted model, not a curated record
CCAGAGCCUUCUGGAUGACCAGCUCUGGGAACUUGGUGCCGUCGCCGCGGGACUUAACGUCCAGUCCAAAGAGGCCGUGGUCAUCGCGCGUAAGCAGUUUUCUCUAUGGAGCACCAGAAGGUUCCACACUGCCAGAAGGUUCUAUCCACUGCACCUGAGAACAGAGGCAAUCGGUAGGAUGCCUUUUGGGGUCCCUUGGCUGUGAUGCAAGUGGAGCAUGUGAAUCAACGUUCCAUCUACCCUGGGAAGCCGUCUUGGGCCUUGAGGGACCAACUCACAGUGGAUCUUGGUCCCUUGCUGCAUAUCUUUCUUCCAUCAUAUUUCUCAUGUGAGUGGCCGGGAUGACUCUAGUCAUUGCUCCUGUGAUUCGGGAAUGCUCAGGCUGUUGCUUUAUGAAGUUGUUCCCACAGGUGAAGACUAUACUGAGCAGAAGUUGAUUUUAAAGCUUCUUUCUAAAUGUACAAAAGAUAAGUUUCUAUUAAGUAACUUUUCUAUUCUAAAGGUUGAAUUUAAAGACAAGAAACAUUUAAAAUAUUACAUAGGAAGAUACAGGCAUUUGAGUUAAAAUGGAACACAAGCUAAAAAGCGGACACUGCAGGGAUUUUACUAUAAAAUGUAUUCCAUAAUGAUAUUUUGUGAUAGUUUUUGUACUGUUUUACAUUUAGAUUUUAGUGUUGGCUAUUUGUGGUGACUUUGAGAAAAAUCACAUAGGAUUAAUAUCUUCUUGAUCUCAGGCUUAAGCUUUAGAAAUUGAAAUUGUAUUACCUCAUUGUUCUUGACUGGUAUAAUUAUAAAAGUGGUUAGCAAGACUAAAAUAUAAUCACACAAUAUCCCAAAUUAAAGGAUAUUAAAAUCUGCAUAUUGAAGAAAUAUCUGGGUUUAUUGCAGAUGUGGGAUGUGAGUUCUAGCUCAUAUUCACAUAUUCACACAAGUAAAUGGAUCAAGAAAAUGUGGUGUAUAUACACAAUGGAAUAUUAUUUUGCCAUUAAAAUGAAUGAAAUUCUGUCAUUUGCAAUAACAUGGAUGGAACUGGAGGAUAUUAUGUUAAGUGUUAUAAACCUGGCACAGAAAGACAAGUGUUGCAUCUUUUCGUAUGUGGGAACUAGAAACAAUUGAUCUCAUGGAGGCAGUGAAUAGCAUGAUGGUUACCAGAGGCUUGAAAGGCUAAAGUGGGUUUCAUUAAUUGGUAGAAAAAUACAUUUACAUAGCAAGAAUAAGAUCUAGUGUUUGGUAACACAAUAGGACAACUAUAGUUAACAAUCAUUUAUUGUACAUUACAAAAUAAUGGAAGGAAUACAUUUGGAAUGUUGCCAACACAAAGAAGUGAUAAGUGUUUGAACUGAUGGUUAGUUCAGUUAUCAGAUUUGAUCACUAUACAUUGUAUGCUUGUGUCACAUGUACCCCAUAAAUAUGUACGACUAUGUAUUAAUAAAUGUUUUAAUUGUGGAAAAUACAAUUAUACUGUUUAUAAAACUAUGCAGCGAUUUUUCUACAUUGAAAAUUCACCAGUUGAUACUCUGAACAAGACAUUGCUUAUAUUUCUUUUAAUUCUCUCUAUAUAUUUUUUCAAUUAUUCAUCCUUUUAAAAUCCAUUAAUCACCUUAUUACCUCCCUAUUGCAACUUCUCCUUGAUGUAUAUCAGAUACUGCAAUUUUAAAUCAAUUUUGAAAUUGCUGACUCAGUAUUAUAUUAAUUCAUUAUCAUGAAUUAUGAGUUUCACAUAUAAACAUUUAGGUCCCACAUUUUUCUAUGCUCUGGCAAAAUGUAAGAUGAAUGAAAUAUAAUUCUUGGUGGCUCAGUUUAAGAUUAAAAUAGACAUUCAAACAGAUAUUUGCAAUAUAAUGUGAUAAAUGGUAUGAAAGAAAUAUUUAUCCCUAACUACAGAUAUCUGAGGCUGUCACUUGAACAAUAGCUUCCUGGGUGGAUUAUGAGUAUCUCCAGGAGAAAUUAGUUGAUCAGGCAGACAGAAAAUAAAGUUCUGUGUAUCAGAGAGAGGGAGCAAAUAAAGCACAGAUUCUAGCAGUAAAUACUAUCAUAUGAGUAGGAAACUUACAAGUAAUUUAUUAGAAGUGGAAUCCCCAAGGUCCAGUGAUGUGUUGGAGCUGGUUCCCACCAGUUCACAAGAUCUUCUUGUGUACAUCUCCUCCCAACACUGUCUCUAAGGACAGUAACUUAUUAGGCUGGAUAUUGGCCAUGAUGAGAGUAUUUAUAUCACAGAAAUUGGCAAAUAUUACAGAUCAAGGUAUCCUCCCUCCUUUCCUUCCUUCCUUUCUUCCUUCCUUCCUUCCUU